Molecule: ribosomal RNA, 197 nt
Filed under: uncultured bacterium
Lineage: Bacteria
Description: partial 16S ribosomal RNA
Rfam family: Bacterial small subunit ribosomal RNA
Source: RNAcentral
GCUGCAACUCGCCUACAUGAAGUCGGAAUCGCUAGUAAUCGCGGAUCAGCAUGCCGCGGUGAAUACGUUCCCGGGCCUUGUACACACCGCCCGUCACACCAUGAGAGUUUGUAACACCCAAAGCCGGUGGGGUAACCUUUUGGAGCCAGCCGUCUAAGGUGGGACAGAUGAUUGGGGUGAAGUCGUAACAAGGUACC